This 1682-nucleotide long non-coding RNA is filed under the name Panax ginseng (ginseng). Its description in RNAcentral is "long non-coding RNA (PGIN_LNC012414)". Lineage: Eukaryota; Viridiplantae; Streptophyta; Magnoliopsida; Apiales; Araliaceae. The record is from RNAcentral.
GGAAUCAUUCCGUUCUAACCUUCAUUCUUGCAUUCUUUCCUGCAAAUCAAACUUAACAUAAGAGUUGUGGAGUUUAAGCCAGUCAUACGAGUUAAACAAGCUGACAGUAUCCUUGUAGUAACCAGAAAUCAAGUAUAUUUAUUUGUCUUGAAUAUAAUUUGAACUCUACAAAUGAAAGUUGAGGUGGUUAUUUCUUUCUUCUCUCUACACAUGAUGGUAUUACCUUUGUAAUUAGUGCCGAGAGAUUUAUUGGAAAGUAAAGGGCCGACAUCAAAUAUUUAAGACUAGCCGUCUUUCGUAAUUCAAAAUCAGUUGUAUUUUGUUAGAUAGGUACAUGGAAAUUCAUAUUUUUACGUGAUUUUUUGAUAUUUCUACAUAAAAACCGUAACUAUAAAUCUUAUAGUGACGGUUUUUACCGUCGCUAUACAUCUAUAACACCACUUUUUUAAAAAAAAUUUAUUCAUAUCUACACGCCAUUAUUAAAUUGAUGUUAUGUAUUACAAUAAAUUUAUGUCAAAUUAUAAUUACAAAACUUAUCAAUACAUACAUGAAUGAAAUUAUGAAAGAAUCCCACUUAUUACAUAUCACUUCAAAAGGGUUACCACUAAUAAUGUAACUGACAAUAUAUAUCAUUUUCUUAAAAACACAAUUAUGUCAUUGGAUUACACAGACACACGAGUUUUGUACUCCCUCUAGUUCCUCAUCAGUGGAUCCUCCACUAUUACAAGUCAAUAAAAGUAGUUAGCGGGGGGUCAAAUAAAGCUAGCGCAUCAAUAAUUAAAGAUGGUUAAUUAGAUAUGGAGAACAUUACUAAAACCAAAAACAAUUAAUUGUAAAGAGAGAACUUUGAAGCCAAAUAGACUGAAUUAGUUAGUGCAGGAAAUGUUUAACAGCUAAAGCAACACUUAUUAUUCUGUCGUGACUUAUGCAUAUAUCCAAUUAAGAUCCCAGAGAUGGAAAUAAGCAAAACCAAUUACGUACCUGGAUUGAAAGAAUUGAAUAUGAGCAAUAUCAUAGCCAUGAGCAUCAGACCAGCUGACUCUUCUUGUUCCUCUCCCUUGUUGAUUUGUCAUCUCAUCAUCCACUGCUAAAUCAUCAUCAUCACUACUUUUCUUCAAACUACUCUUAAGAGGAGGAGGUUCAAUUAGAACCCCAUUAAUGGACCCAUUCUGAACAUUACUGCUGCUGCUGCCGCCAUUAAUAUGAUUACUACAAGCUUUUUCUUCUUCUUCCUCCUCUUCCUUGUGAUUAUUUGGUGCAGCUGUAUUAUAAUUUUCCGAUGAUGAUGAUCUCUUGUUGUUGUUCUUGUGGAUAGUAGUAUUGUUGGUUUCUUCUUCGGUAUUGAAAGAAUUCCUUGAGGGCACAUAGCAUGAACAUACCAAAGAGCUGCAUCUGUUUUUCUGCCCCGAGCCCGCCAGGAGUACUACUCUUACACUAUAUAUACUCACCUUUAAUUAACAACUCUCUCUGCCUUAAUUUCUCUCUCUCUCCCUAUCUCAAACUGUCACAAGAUUAAAGGCACAUAUGGAAAGAUUCAUUGGCAUGAGAUCAAAACUAGUGACAGGGUGUGUAUGAGAGAGAGACACCAUUCUAAAAUCAUUCUUGUUUGCUUUGUCUAUGGGAAUUGAGUAAUGGGGUGGGGGCCAUGGUGGGUUUUUUUUUCUUUUUAGGUUUGAAAAAAU